UACGUAGGAUGCAAGCGUUGUCCGGAAUUAUUGGGCGUAAAGAGUUCGUAGGCGGUUGCCUAAGUCUGGUGUUAAAUACAGGAGCUCAACUCCUGCAUGGCACUGGAAACUGGGCGGCUAGAGUGUGGUAGAGGUCACGGGAAUUCCAGGUGUAGCGGUGAAAUGCGUAGAUAUUGGGAAGAACACCGGUGGCGAAGGCGGCUAUCUGGACCGUAACUGACGCUGAGGCGCGAAAGCGUGGGGAUCAAACAGG
This 253-nucleotide ribosomal RNA is filed under the name uncultured bacterium. RNAcentral describes it as "partial 16S ribosomal RNA". It matches the Rfam family "Bacterial small subunit ribosomal RNA", at positions 524 to 776 of the family's 1533-position model. The record is from RNAcentral.